RNAcentral lists this small RNA (137 nucleotides) under Carbonactinospora thermoautotrophica. RNAcentral describes it as "Streptomyces thermoautotrophicus c-di-AMP sequence". The stretch from base 15 to 118 matches the Rfam family "c-di-AMP riboswitch aptamer (ydaO/yuaA leader)", at positions 17 to 115 of the family's 134-position model. Rfam says of the family: This family represents a conserved RNA structure found upstream of the ydaO and yuaA genes in Bacillus subtilis and related genes in other bacteria. The ydaO/yuaA element is thought to act as a genetic "off" switch for the ydaO and yuaA genes in its native state. It is believed that the element may be triggered during osmotic shock leading to activation of ydaO, a predicted amino acid transporter gene, and members of the yuaA-yubG operon which code for KtrA and KtrB K+ transporters. The record is from RNAcentral. Lineage: Bacteria; Bacillati; Actinomycetota; Actinomycetes; Kitasatosporales; Carbonactinosporaceae.
UGCCCCGGCCCACCACCCAUGGACAGGGGCGGGGGAACCACCGGGGCGCACGCCCCUGGGGUGAAGCCACCACAGGUGGCCGGGCACCUCUCGCCCGAACCCGUCAGCUAACCCCGCAGGCGCCGAGAGGAGCGAGA